RNAcentral lists this transfer RNA (64 nucleotides) under Tetraloides heterodactylus. Its description in RNAcentral is "tRNA-Asp". Lineage: Eukaryota; Metazoa; Arthropoda; Malacostraca; Decapoda; Tetraliidae. The record is from RNAcentral.
AAGAAAUUAGUUAACUAAUAAUAUUAGCUUGUCAUGCUAAAGUUAUCAUCAUUGAUAUUUCUUU